GGAACGGCGAAAAGAACCCCGGCGAGGGGAGUGAAAACGCCCCUGAAUCCGUGUACGGACAAGCAGUGGGAGCAGCUUCGGGUGUGACUGCGUACCUUUUGUAUAAUGGGUCUGCGACUUAUAUUCUGUAGCAAGGUUAACCGAAUAGGGGAGCCGAAGGGAAACCGAGUCUUAACUGGGCGUUAAGUUGCAGGGUAUAGACCCGAAACCCGGUGAUCUAGCCAUGGGCAGGUUGAAGGUUGGGUAACACUAACUGGAGGACCGAACCGACUAAUGUUGAAAAAUUAGCGGAUGACUUGUGGCUGGGGGUGAAAG
RNAcentral lists this ribosomal RNA (315 nucleotides) under Staphylococcus warneri. RNAcentral describes it as "bacterial LSU rRNA". It matches the Rfam family "Bacterial large subunit ribosomal RNA", at positions 508 to 827 of the family's 2925-position model. The record is from RNAcentral. Lineage: Bacteria; Bacillati; Bacillota; Bacilli; Caryophanales; Staphylococcaceae.